UGAAGUGACGUUGGUGCAUAGGAGAGCCACAUUCAUCAUCACCAUGGCUUCCUUUUUGUUGAAAUCUAAACCUAAUCUUCUAUCAACUAGCUCCAUUAGGUCACCUUUCUCUUUCAACAAUUGUGCCUGUUGAAACCAAGUCAUUUAUAAUUGGUACAUUCAAUAUCUAAAAAUUCUUCAAAUUAUGAAAUUGGGUCAUACUUCUGUUAAAUUACUUAAGAGCAAAAUGAUACCGCUUAUUAAUAUACUCCUUGAUAUUAUGAUUCUAGAAAAGGGAAGUAACUUAAAAUGUUAUGUACAAUUAUUCUUCUGGACAAGUAAAAAUUACAUAUUCUUCUGAUUCUCUUUGUUGUCCUAAUGAAAUGUAAUACUUAAACAAACAAAUUUUAAUUGUUGGUCAAGACGAGGAAAGGGGUGAUAAAGGGGAUACAUGACUUUAUUCACUUUUAGAUUUGAAUUAUUAGAUGAAAAAUGAAAAAUAUACACAAGGCACUGAACAAAGUGUAUGUAGACAGUAGCAUGCAUGGAUAAUCAAAUUAUUAGAUGAAAAAUAUACACUUUUUGAGAACAUCAUCAAAAAUUUACCCAAUCAAGAAGAUAGAAUGCUUCCUCCUUUGUCCGAUGAAUGGUGUUUCUCCUUCCGCUGACAAUUUCCAAGGCAACAAUUCCAAAACUAUAAACACCGUCCCUGACUGUCAAAUAACCAUGCAUUGCGUAUUCAGGAGCCAUAUAUCCACUACAUGGUUGGAACAUAUCAUUGAAAUAACUUUGAUAUAAGUAUACAAUAUGACAUCAACCUUUUAUAUUAUAAAAAUAUACAAUUUAAAUUGAAUUUAGUAACUUUUUGCAGUUAUUUAUAAUCAACUAGGAGAAGUCAAGAGUUAUAGUUUUCACUAAGUUCCGGCAAUUUUAGUACUAAUGUGAGUAUUGUCCUCCUCAUGAAGCUUGGCCAAACCAAUAUCAGAUAUCUUUGGGUUGAGAUCCCUAUUGAGUAAUACAUUGGUGGCCUUGAUGUCCCUGUGAACAACCUUCAGUCUUGAUUCUUCGUGGAGGUAUGCCAAACCUCUAGCAAUACCAACCUUUAUUUGUGAAUGUAAUAAGAUUCAGACAAUGAUAUAUAAAGUCAUGUGCUAAGUUUGAAUAUGUGAAAUAUUACAUUAAUAGCAACCUGAAUUAUAUCAUAUAGGAAAAAUUACCAAAUAAAGCACGAGCAAGGCUAUUGUUUUCCAAGUAUUCAUAUAUCAGCAACAAUUGAUCUCCCUCCACACAACAACCGUGGAGUCUAACAAGAUAAGGAUAUUGCAAAGCAUAAAUCAUUCCUAUCUCAUUUAAAAACUCACGGUUCCCUUGCUUUGAUUCAGCAGAAAGUUGCUUCACUGCUAUCAAUGUCCCAUUGGGUAAACAUCCCUGCAUUUUGAGGAAUGUUAUAUUCUGAAAAAUAUAUGUAAAGAUAUAGUAAAAGCAUGACACUCAAGAUACUUGGUUAUAUUAGUCAAAAAACCUUGUACACAGGACCAAAACCUCCUUCUCCAAUCUUAUUUGAGACAUCAAAGUUGUUUGUUGCUGCUUUGAUUUGUCUCAAUGUAAAUAAACCCGUUUGCAGGUCCAAACUCUUAAGCUCUGUUAAUUGAAGUAAAAGAAAGAACAAAGAUCUCUUAGACAAAUAAAAUUAAACACGGACAUUGUGCAUAUACAAUCCUUUUCAAGUAACAUUUCAACUUUCUUUUUAUCAUGACAAAACUAGUCUCAGGUUCCAUAGCACAUUAUACUGAUAAACAUACAUACUCAAACAUGCUCGGAUACACAACAUGAACAAGUUUAUUUUAAUCACUUAUGUAACACCCCUACUAGAAAUUUCCUAGGAUAUCUAGCAUGAGUGUUAAACUUGGCAAUGGAUACAUUAAAAUUACAACAAUAAAAAUUUUCUUUGAAUAGGAUACAGAAAAUUCUCGUCUUAUACCUUGGAAAUAACACUACUGGCGUGAACUUUGUAUGGUCCAUCAACUUCUGCUUCUUCAUCACGAACCAUGAUGUCGUAUAGUAACCUGAAUAUCUGAAAUAAAUAAAAGAGAUCGGGGUGAGACAUGAUGUUUCAGUGAGUUCCACCUAUCCUAGGUUGUAGGCAAUCUCAGGGAACCUAGGAUCGCCAUCUGUUCUAAUCUCAACCAUUUCAGGUUUAUACAGUCUUUAUCCUACAUAAUUGAACGAUCAGGGAUAACUAGGGUCACUACCUAGAAUACUAUCACGAUUCUAUCAUAAUGUCAUAUUCUUAUUCAUACACAUACUUAUAAUCAUAAUCAAAAUUCUGAACUUAAAGUUCAUGUCAUUAAUUAUAUAUUUCACUAUGUGCGUAUAGAUCAUAUUAUCUUUUUGUUGUAGCGACGGUAACAUUUUCACAUUUGUUACUAUGAGCCGUACCUCAUAGGCUACAUUAUCUCUUCGUUGUAGCAAACGGAGUUUUCACAUUUUUUACUAUGAGUCGUACCUCAUAGGCUACAUUAUCUCUUCGUUGUAGCAAACAGAGUUUUCAUAUAUUUUUUUACUAUGAGCAGUACCUCAUAGGCUACAUUAUCUCUUCGUUGUAGCAAACAGAGUUUUCACAUUUUUUUACUAUGAGCCAUACCUCAUAGGCUACAUUAUCUCUUCGUUGUAGCAAACGGAUUUUUCGCAUUUUUUUUUUCUCUGAGCAUGUUACUCAUUUCCAUUUUUUCUUUCAAAUAAUUUAUAUUAGUAUAUAUAUCAAUUGUCUUGCUUAGUGUUUUAAUGCUAGAACCAAUUCACGUGAUCAAUACUUUCACAACUUUCAUAUCAUAUACAAUUUCGUUCACAUUAUCAUGACUUUGCAUAACCAUUAAAACCUCGAUUGUAUUGAGUAAAAGUAAAUAGCACCAUUUCAAUGACAUGAUUCAAACUACCCAAAGGGAGAGUUAACUAACUAAGGAACUCACCUUGAAAUACUUUUGGAAAAACUUGCAAAGCAUCUGAUCAACAAUCUGCAGCUUUUGCGAUCUCCAAAACUCCAUAAUCACUUUUCCAAAACAACUUAUGCCCUAGCUUAUAGUUUCUACCCUUUUUGAAACAUCUCAACUCACUUGUGUUCCACUCUUACUUCAUCGACCAGCAUGUACAAAAAUUCUCAUUUCAGUCUCUGCACCAGAAGUUCACUGUUUGGCCACUUAAGCACUUUUGUCAUUAAUAAAACAGCUUAUCAUUUUACCGUUACUCAUAUACCAAUAUAAUAUACCUCCCCUAAGUUGGUCAUCACAAAACUAUACCUGAAACGGCUCAAAUUCCAACUUAAGCUUUUAUCCAAACAGCUUAAUUAAAACUUAUGGCUUCUAUCAAAUUAAGUUCGACCCAACCAUUAACACAACAAUUCCAAAAUGUAUAAUAAUCCCUAAGAAUCACUUUUACAGCAAAUUAAUCAACAGCUUAGUCAUUUAAGACAAAAUUCCCAUAACAGCUUAACUGACAGUUUAUGACCUCUAAACAAUUCCAUUUCAAUUCAAAUUUUCCAGAAUCAAAUAAAACAUGUAUACACAGCUCCUAAUCCAUUUCUACACCAAUCCUAACAAUAUUAAUUCCAAAAAUUAACUAUGAAAGCUUUUGGAACAACUUAUGACUUUUAGCCUCUAGCUUUUCUUUCCAAACAGCAACAACAAUACUAAGCUACUAACAGCCCUCACCUCAAUAUUCUUGCCAAGCCAAAACCCUAGCUCUUGUGUCUUGCAUUAAUCUUGCUCAAACUUGCCUCUAAUGCUCAAAACACAACAUAAAGCUUCAAAUUUUUGUACAUGAUUACCAACACACUUUAACCUCUUAAACCCAUGCUAUGAGUCUCUUGUAUGAACUUCUUAGGAAAGGAUAAGAGAAAGAUUGAGUUGUCUAAAGGUUCCAUUUCUACAAUAAUUCAAGAAAAACACUAAAACUUGAUGAUUACAUAAAGAAGUGAUGAUUUUUGGUGAACUAGGGAAGAAGAGGAAAAGGGACGUGAGGUAGGGAGAAGAAGAGGAAGAAAAAUAUCUGAUUUGGGUGAGAGAAUGGGGUAGAAAAGUGUGGAAACUUUAUUUUGGAUAUUUUGUCUUAUAUAUACCCCACUUAGGGGAAAUGACCAUUUUACCCCUUUUUGGUCUUCUUAACUUAAUUUAUCUGAUAAAAAAAAUACCGUCAAAACUUUAAGCGGCAUAUUUCAUUCCCCGUAAUCCGUUGUAAUCAUAUAAUUCGGUCAUGAAAAGUCUUACUUGCAAUUACUAUUUUGCUCUUCACUUGAAAGUUCCGAGGAUAAAAUAACUUGUAUCGAUAUCUGACUGAAUCUCACAUGCGGGAUAUUACAACUUAGAUAAUUGAUAUGUUAGAAAAAAGAUUGAUGAUAACGGCUAAAAAAUAAAUUAAUUUGCAUGCACCUCUUUCUAAUGAGUUUUUCUUUCCAAAACAUUCUUUCCACCAAAGUAUACCGAAUAUUAAAAUAAUAACAAUCGUUGCUGCAACCAAUAAUCCAACCACAGUUCCUGCAGAUAUAUAUGCUUGCAGGUGAAGAGUCUGCUUGAUUGUUUUACAAGACAUUUAAAAUAUUAGAUCAUAACAUAGAGAUCAUAGCAUAAGAUUAGGGAUGUACAACGCAUAACCCACCGGAUUUUACUGAUAUAGCUGAUAUAAGAGGACCAUAUACUGAUCUAUUUGGGGGAUAGUGUCCUUUUUCCAGCCCAAUGUAAGCGGAUCUCCAAGGUAUUACUAGUAACAACAACAUCUUUGAACUGUUUAAUGACUUUCUUACCAACUCCUCCAGCUGCUUCUGCAAUAUUAAAGUCCUUCUGCACUUGCAUUCCCUGCAACAUUUCAAUCAGAACCUUAAUGCUUCAUGAAUAUGACGACCUAUCAUUAUUUUAAUCUUUAUCCUUCAUUGAGUUUUAGAAAUUUUAGAAACCAUGUCAAACAAUGUUGUUAUAGGAAACUAGUGAUCACUUUGCUAUUGAAAGAAAAAGAAAAUUGUACCUGAAUAUAAAUAUCAAAUACACGCCUUCCAAGACUACUAUAAGUUUGAUCGUCUGUGAACAUUAUUUCAGCAAAAUGUAAAUUUACUGUAUAGCUUCCAUUUGCAAGGCAAAACCCAUAAUAAGUCAAAGAAACGCGUUCAUUCGUGUACAAUUCAGCAUCCACCAUAGUAAGUUUAGAGAUACUUUGUGAGGAAUAAGUGUCUCCAAGUUGAUCACUAUCUAGGAAUCUACCAGUGCUGCUAAAUGCCCAAUUUUCUGUUGGACUGACAUCGGAUCGAGCUGGUCUAGAUGAGUCUGAAUCACCAUAAUAACUUUUUCCGUUGACUAUCACUUGCUUUCCACCACAAUUUAUAUAAAGGGUGUAUGAGGCUGGGUUAAGCAGAUCAUGUCAGCAACUUUGGAAAUAAUAAGGAAAUUAUAAAAACAAUAAAGAAAAAUAAUUUCCUUGAAAUUUUAUUUUCAUAAACUUGUUAUCUCUCUCUCUCUCUAGCUAUUUUUUUUUUCCCACUGCAGAUGAAGAUAAAAGGAGGGAAUCAUGGGCGGUUGCAUAACUCUAGUCAAACAAAAGUCAUGAUUUCAUUAAUGUAGUGUACCCAAAGUAAAAAAAUAAGCAUCGUUGUCUGUCGUCCCCUCUCCUGUUGUAUCUAUGUUUUUAUUUUUUUAUUUUUAUAAAUAAAGUAAAAACAUCGUGAAAUCUUAGCUAUCUAUAGGAAAGUAAGCAUGAAGAAACUCACGUUUAGGACAUUCAAAUCUCAAACAUGAAACUCCUCUCUGAGAGAAUCAUCAAAGGAAUAGAACAAGUGCAUGAUUAGUAAAAUCAGAUUCAUCACAUGCUAGUGAAAUGGAAAGGAUAUCUAAAUUCAAACUUCAAUGUCUUGUUUUAGUAUUUAUAACACCAAACUUACAUGUCAUUGUGUGCCGAUGAAAUAGAAAACAAGUUCCUGUGCCAUAUUGGAGAAGUUGGUGUCUCAGGAAGAAUCAUGUGACAAACAAAUGCAAGGAAUCUUGCACUUUUUGAUCUUGACAUAUAUGACUCCCUUGGCUAAUGCUGAAGUUAUUGUAUGAAAGAUCUCUACACCCAAGUUAUAUACUUUGAUUUAGAAUAUGAUAAUAAUUCGACAAUUAGAGACUUAACGGAAGAUUUGGUCUACUUAAUUACUACCCAUCAUUAACUAAACAUUAUGCAAGAAAACACUAUACAACUAAAAAUACAUUUUUUAAAUAACAAGAGGGGGAAAAAGGUGGGAAAAAAUGAAAAUUUCAGUUAGAAAGUAAAAAAGAAAUGAUAUGUUUCCAGUAUUUUUGGCGCAUAAAUGAAGUAAUAUUUUCAAUCCAAUGAAUCAUACAGGUAUCUGCCUAUGAAUCUGGAAUAGCUGCUUGCAGAUGCAAUCUCCAUGGGCGUUUGACUCUGCACAAAGGAGAUACAGCGUUAACAACACAAGCCUUGAAGACGAAGCUUAACAAUCUUUGGCCCCAAUUACAAAAUUGGAGUUUGAUUCCCCUUGGUAAGGGUUUCUUUGAGCUUAAUUUCAAUUCAAUUGACGAUAUGAAGCAGAUUUGGGCCAUUGGUGUUGUUAACCUAAAACCUGGAUUCAUGCGGUUCUAUCGUUGGACAAAGGAUUUCACGCCCAAAGGACAUAGCAUUCAUGCUUGCUCCAAGAUAAAUGCUGCUACCAAUGUUCAAGUUACUAAGAGUAAUAAUGUGAACCAAAGAGCUCAAUCAAAAGCUGAUUUGGCCAAUAAGAAAAGUGCUAAAUUUCCUGUCAAUACAGUUGAUGCUAUAACUGUUAAUGCACAAGUACACCCUCACAUUGCAGCAAUUGGUAAUAAGUCUGCUAAGGUAUCUUCUCAUGAUGACAUUCAGGAGGCCCCUUUUGUUUCAACUGAUGAUUUUGAGGAAGGUGAAGUAUCAGCUCCUGAAAGCAAUGAAAUUGCAGUCCUCAACACUGAACUUCAUGCUAAUGAUCAGAGCCAGAAUAUUGGAGACAUGAAUCUCACACUUCACAACUCAUUUGAAUUGCUUGAAAGUGGUUCUAAGCAUGUCAUAGGGGAGGCUAAGCCAAAUGAUGAGGAAUCUAUUCCCAUAUUACUGGAUAUGCAAAUUGAUAAAAAUCCAAUUGUGGAAGACAAUUCCCUAGGGAAGGAGAAAUUGACUCAUAACACAAACUUAGAGAAUCCUGGUAAUUUGGUAAAAAGGAACUCUAAAAUUGCUGCUUUGAGUCCAAAUCCUCUUUUGGGCCCUGUUAAUGGGAGGCAAUCUUUCCCCAUUACAAGUCCCUCUUCCCUAGCUCAGAGUAGUAACAUUGGGAGGAUGUCAUUCCCCAAUGCUAUUGCUGUGUCAUUUGGUAAGGCUAGGGAUCCUUUUUAUGAUACUACCAUCACAUUGCAGCCCAUCACUACCCCUAUCACCACUCAUGAUGAGAUAUUAGGACAAGAUAAGAAAAAGGUGCUUUUCACUGUUGGCCCUAAAAAUCUUUCUGCUGCAUGUUUGAAAGAUGGUAUGAAUUUGAGUAAGUUUUGGGAGGAUGAGGACAACGAUGCUACUGAUAGCAUAUUGGACCCUGAAACUGACUUCGAAGCUCAUAACAACUCUCAUUCCCCAGAUGCAUCUAAACAUCUAGUUUCACCACAUGAAACUGUGAAGAAGAGUAAAAGAGGCAGACAUCAGAAGCAAUACACUAGUAGUGAGCUCAUACAAACGCGUUCCAAAAAGGGUGUGAUCAAAAGCAAUCCCAAAUAUAUGUGAUUGUCUUGUUGAAAGUUCCAUAUCUUGCAGUUGUUGUUCUUAUUUGGGUUCAUCUUCUGCUAUUCUAGAUGGUUGCUGAAUCUAUCUUAGUGGGAUAGAUUGUAUUCUUUUAAUACUUGAUUUUUUUUUUUUAUACUACUAGUUUUGCUGCUGGACUGGUUUGCUUUCUUUGAUUAGUUGUUCCUGUUAGUGUCAUAGCUAGUCUUACGUGGUAGCCAUUGUUGGAUGUGGUCUUUGUACCUCCAUUGGAAGGGGUGUUCUUUUUGUUGUCUUAGUUUGGAUUGUUUGAUUGUAUGUGGUUCAGGCAGCUCCUGAGUUUUAUAUUCCAUUUUAAGCUUGAUCAAAAAAAAAAAAAAAAGUAGUAUUAGAAAGAUAGCUCACACGUCUGAAUUCUUUCCCCAAGCAGGAGGAACUUGUCCAGUGAGAAGGUUUCCGGUCAAGAAUCUAUCAUAAAAGAAUAUCAAGGUAUUAGUAUGCAAAGCUUCAUGUUUAGGUUGAGUUUAAUCCUCAGGAACCAAGUAGGAUUAUUUAACUAUCCAGCAUAAUGAAAGUUCAAACUAAACCUAUAGGCGUAAAGAAGCCAACAAAUGUGAUUAAAAGUAUACCACCAAAAGAAACUGGGCUAAGUAACUACGAUGAAUUUCAUACAUGAAAUUUGCAUUGCUCAUGUCAGCAUAGUUACUCGGGAUUGUUCCUCUUAAUCUGUUAAAGCUGAGGUCUCUGAAAAAGAUAUCAUAUCACAUUGAGAUUGAGUUAAAAUUCUAGGGGGAAAAUUUGUCAUAGAAAAAAAUUCCUGUAAUUUGGAAAACUCGACACAAAAAUGCCAAUGGUUGUAAAACAAGUUAAACUUAACAAAAGAAACUUUGAUGGUUAGCUAUAGUAAAAAAAAAUGUAGCAAGUAUGAAUAUUACAUGUGUUUUAAUGUUUUAAUAGUCACAAGAUUUUCAGGUAGUGUACCGUUGAUUGCAAUUUCUCAAAAUCCAGCGAAACAAUAAGAUAGAUAACGAUAUAAAUUAGUGUCUUUCUUGCUUUAUUUAUUUUUUCAUUUGCGUACAUACUGUUUUUGGUUCUUUAACUCUUUUAUUGGGUUAAAUUGGAUCUCUAAUUCUAUAAUUUGAACCAAGUUGCUCUUUUCAAUUGCAAGAUCUAAAAACCCUUUUUCUGACGUAAAGAAAAAUCCAUAUCUUUUUGGUGUAAAUGGAGGGUUUGUGGUUCUUAAAAAAAUACAUUAACUUGCACCUCAUAAAAAGUGAAUUACAUCAACUUGCUUAUGGGAUUGGAAUUUAGAACUUAGUAAGUUGGAAUUAGGAAUCACAUUAACUUGUAUUUAUAGCAAAUACACUAUAAAUACAGUAUUGAGAAGUCUGAUUAGACACACAAAAAUUACAUAAAUUUACAAGGUAUGUGUAGUGGUUAGUUCCUAGAGGAGGUGGGUAUUGUCAUGGUAGGCGUUUUUCAUCAUGCUCUUCCUCUCACAUGACCUUAACGUCUUUCCAGUUAUGCUAUAACCAGCUGGCCCGUUUCCGGUGCGACUCAACACUGUACGCCACCACCUGCCUACGUGUAAUACAAGAGCGAGCAAGACAGACAUUUCCCCGCCGCCUAACGCAUCAAAACUUUCUUUGUGUGGGAGACCCAAGAGCCUUCCACCCCCAGCCACCAGUGCCAGUCAUUUGGUAAAUUUUUAGCAACUAUCCUCUUUUAGCCACAUCUUCCAUUUUCAGUUUUACUAUUGUACCGAUCCCUUGCAAAACAUUGGUAGGUUCUGCCAAUUAUAUAUGCAGGAGGAAGAGAACGUAGAAAUAGUCGAACCAGUUCUACCAUUGGUAGGUUCUGCCAAUUAACCGUUAUGCCAAUUAACCGUUGCUCUUUUCCAUUGCAAGAUCUAAAACCCCUUUUUCUGGCACUGGGUUCUACCAUUGGUAGGUUCUGCCAAUUAACCGUUAUGCCAUAUUAAGGCGCAAAACCGAACCAAAACCAAUCAGUUGCAGCCAAAGUAGUGAAUGUUGCUGAUAUAUUGAGGCUUUUGACACUGAAUAAUUUUUCCUUUCGACUACAGAGUAUAAUGAAAACCUCAAGCUCAAGGCACAAAAUCAAACCCCCAAACCAGUUGCUUGUGUUGUUCAUACCAGUAAUCUUGUUUCCUUAGUGUCACAUUCCACUUCACUUGGACCUUAAAGCCUUUACUCUGGCGCCUUUGAUCAUAUAUUUGGUAACAAAUUGCUUUUCUCUCAUCUCACUUACAUGUAAACGCUCCCUAGUAUGACUUUGGCAAAUGGAGCACAAACCAAAUGUGAAGGCAUUAGUCGAACUAGUCUCUUACCCACACUUAAUUUGAACUCAGUACUUUACGAUUGGAAUUUCCAUUUAGUUUAAUAUCCAUAAGUAAACUCGCUCAUAUCCUACAUGACUUUAUUACCUUUGCACUUCAAAUGCUAAAUGAGAUGACUGCUUUGCACUCCAAUGGUACUUAUGGUACUUGGGAUUUGGCAGCGUUACCUGAUGGAAAAACCACAAUAGGUUGUCGUCGGGUCAAUACAGUUAAUGUAGGGCCUGAUGGAAAUAUUGACGCGUAAAAUCACGCCUUACGGAAAAAGGACACACACAGAUCUUUGGCCUUGAAUAUGGGGGCACUUUUUCUCCAGUUGCCAAGAUUGCAUCCAUUCACUUAUUUCUUGCCAUAUAGUCGAUAUUAAUCGAUGGCCUCUCCAUCAAUUAGACAUCAUAAAUUCCCUUUCAUGGUGAGUUAUAAGAGGAGGUGUGUAUAUGGCACAACCGUCUGGUUUUACUGUUAGUGGUUCCUCUCAGUUGGUCUCUCGGCUGCGUUUAUAUCUAUAUGGCUUUACACAAUCUCCAUGUGCUUGGUUUGGGAAAUUUAGCACUAUGUUCCAAGUGUAUGGCAUGAGCAGAUGUGAAACUGAUUAUUCUAUCUUCUGGAAUUCUUCAGCGACCACCUGCCUCUAUUUUCUUGUCUAUGUCAAUGACAUCAUUAUCAAAGGGUAAUGAUCAGGUUGCCCUUCAUCGGCUCAAACAAGAUUUAUAUCUUCACUUUCAAACUAAAUAUUUGGGGCCCCUAAAUAUUUACAGUGACAAGGCAUGAUGAUAUUACAUUUGUUGUCAGCUUAGUAAGCCAAUUUAUGUCAGCUUAGAAUAGGCCAAUUUCUGUCAGCUUAGAAAAUUUCUAAACUUCGGUGUUACGCUGUAGAAAUUUUCUGAAUCCUCCAUGUGAAGUCAUUAGAAUGUUUUGAUUCACAUUCUUAGGUAUAUCAUGAGUACAUUAGGUAGAGGAUUACUUUAUGAAGGCAGGGGUAACACUGAAGUUGUUGGCCACUUUGAUGCUGAUUGGACAGGUUCACCAUCAGAAUAGACGAUGUAACUUCUGGAUAUUCUGUCCUUGAUAGAGGUAGAUUGAUAUCAUCGCGGAGCAAGAAGCAAUACAUAGUUUCAACUUCGAGUGCAGAAUCAGAGUAUCUUGCUAUGGUAGCAACAUCUUGUGAACUUACAUGGCUAAGACAAUUACUCUAGGCUCUUGCAACUAAAGUUAAGAGAUAUCAAGGCAAUGAAACUAAUUUCUGAUAACCUGGCUGCACUUCAUAUUGCUUCCAAUCCAGUACUCCAUGAGAGAAGGAAGAACGUAGACAUUGACUGCCACUUUUUAAGAGACAAGGUUUGUUCACGAGAAAUUGUAAUUGAUUUUAUUUGUUCAACUAGCCGAUAUAUUUACUAAGUCUCUUAGAGGAUCUCGGGUUGAACCUAUUUGUAACAAGCUUGGUGCAUAUGAUAUGUAUGCUCCAUCUUGAGGGGGAGUGAUAAAAUUAAUCACAUAAAAAAUAUGUUCUUAUAAUUAGUUUCAAAGAAUUAGAAACUUGAUGAAUUGGAAUUAGGAAUUACAUUAACUUGUAUUUAAGCCUUUUAUUUACUGUUUCUUAAAGAGGUAGAGAAAUCAACUCGCAGUCUAUUUAACAAUGUCAUGUUGUUAAGUUGUGGCAAAGGUGCAUACUCAGAUCCAUUCAAAUCACUGAUUCUCCUGAAUAUCACAUUUGAUUUAAAGCUAAGUAAACAUAAUUAAAAUGAAAGUUAAACUCCAACCCUUGUUUCAUCAGUGUAUAAAAUAUCAUACAUACAAGUCAAUUAAGUUUCUCAAAAGUGAAAUUUCAGAAGGAAUCGGCCCAAUUAAUCCACUCCCUUGAAUGGUUCUGUCAAAAGUAAAGUUAUCAUUGGUAAUUAUUUUUACAAAGUCAAGCAAUUUGAAAAACAAUUAAAUUUGAAGAAAGAUGAACAUGAAAAAUUAAGGAGUACAUACAGUGUGUUGAUAUUUGUCCAGUUUUGAAUAAACUUAGGUAUCUUUCCAAGCAACUGGUUGUCUGAAAUUCGGCUGCAUUGAGAGAGGACAUGGAAAUUUGAAGCAUCAUAAAAUUUAUUUUUUUAUUUUCUAAUCAGUAAAUAUCAAAUUUGAUGCUUACAAAUCUCGCAAUGUAGUGACCUUGGACAAUGUUGUAGGUAGUUCUCUAGUAAAAUUGUUAGAGGACAUUUUCCUAUAUAUAAUUGAAAAACAAAACAGUAAAUUAUGAUUCUAAGCCAUAGAAAUCAAGCUGGUCUUUAAACACAGGGCUUUAAUAUAUAUGAAGGGAGAACAUCAAUCGGGGGAGUACUUACAGUGUUCGAUAAAGUUAAGUUCUACUAAAAUUAUUUGUAUUGAACAUAUACAUGUUUAUGGACUAGUGAAAUUAAUUAAUUUUUUCGCUAAGUAGGCUAAUGAGUAACUCACAAAUGCAUCAGAGUAGAUAUAUUUGCAAUCUCCGCUGGUACUGAACCCCGUUAAUCGAUUUCCAGAGAGAGUACUAUGAUGAUUAAGAAACAUUUUCUUAUUAGUUUAUUAUUCUAUGUAAUUACAACAGUUAAUUAAGGCAACGUCUUAUAAAGAGUGAAAAUAAGAAUAUUCAAUGAUUAAAAACCAAAAAGCAAAACAUAGCCUUAUUAUAUGAGUGCCGGAUUUGAAAUGAUGCAAUAUAUACAAGACUAUCAAGACAAGAUUAUAAGAAUAACGUGGGUACAUAAAUUUUGACACACAUUCAAAAUCAUCUAAUCAAAAUAAGAAGGACACUCUAACAGUAGAUUGUCGCAUUGAUGAUGAGAGAUAGAUUUAAAGGAGGAAACUGACAUAGAAAGACUCAGAAAAAGCAUAUAUAUAUAUAUAGAUGUAGAUGUAGACCCCAUUCCCAGCUAGGAAUUUUGAGAAACACACAAACGACAUAACAAAUUAUUGUUCAAAAACAGUAAACGUGUUAAUUAUGGUUUCUUUUACUCUGAAAUGUCUUCCGUAUAAUUAAUGUUCUUCGUAGAAGUUGUAUCUGUAUUCAAUAUGUGUAUUUUUUUUAGUGUAAACUCUAUUAAUUACGGCUAUUCAUCUCUUGAGUUUUUUGGGACAUGAAUGCGCAGCAAAUUUUUCUUCAGAGUUUUAAGUUGUGGUAUGUUUAAAGUUGGAUUCAAAUCAGACUUUACUUAAGAUAAGAGAGAUAUGUGUCGUCUUUAUAUAAACGCUCCUGCCUAUACUCAAUAUGUAUAUAUUUACAUUCCAAAUUUCAGCAAUUUUUUUUUUUGGCUAAAAUAUGGUUCUAGUCCCUGCAAAUAUGCAUCGUUUUAGUUUUAGUCCCUGUAAAAUAAAAAUUUCGUUUUUGGUCCCUGGAGGGACUAUUUUCAAAAACAAAAAAAUUUGCUGGGACCUUUUUAAAAAACAAAAUAUUGUGCAGGGACCAAAAACUACAAAAUGGGCCAGUCAUCAUGUGCCACGUAUGCAAAUCAUCACAAAAAUGGGGUCAGCGACUAUUUUAAAAAACAAAAAAUUUUGCAGGGACCAAAAACAAAAAUUUUAUUUUACAGGGACUAAAACUAAAACGAGGCAUAUUUGCAAGGACUAAAACUAUAUUUUAGCCUUUUUUUGGUCUAUUAAAGAGUUUUUUUCUUUUUUCUUUUUUCUGAAUCAAAAGUAAAGGAAGACAUCAGGAGAUAGCUUGACAUCCCAACUAUGUUGGAAGCCCAAGGCUACCCCAUCCUCUACCACCUUGCUUAAAAAAGAGAAAAUUGUACAAGAGGGGACCAAACCAAAACCCUCGGAAAAAACAUACUAUAAAAAUCCAAAAUACAAAGCAAGAGACCUAAGGAAAACGGAAACUAGGAAGUCCGUAUUUGACUCUAAAAGUUAUCUCUAAUAAAUGUGCGGAGAGAGUCUCACCAAAUAACAUCAGCCAAGUCGUAACCAUAAUUUGCUAACUUAUCCGCACAACAAUUUCCUUCGCGAAAAAUAUGAGAUGAAAUGAUGGAAAUGCCUCCAUGCGUACAAUUAUGUGUUGUUUUUGGAUUUCCAAAAUGUUGUAAUUGAAUUUCCAAAUUCUAUUAUCUACCGAAGUUGUUACUAGGUUGAGUCACGACCAGGUCGCUCUCUUUAAGACGUUUCAUGCCACUGCCCAAAAUUGUGCAAGGCAGACUAUCAACCACGCCACCUCCAGGAUAAAACAAGCCCAACUACAACUGUGCGAUUAACUACUGCACUUAGAAAACCGUUCGAGAAUUACACCCUCAAAUAUGGUACUAAGACCACUAUUUAAUACUGAAACCACUUUAAUAUGGUAUUGUUACCACUCUAUUAUGGUGUUGCCACCGUUCUACAACCACUCAAAUAUGGUGUUGUCACCAUUCUAACUUUAAUUUCUCCAAAACAUCAAUAUGGCACUACGACCACUCAAAUAUGGUGAUACCACCAUUUCUCCUCAAAUAGAAACAUAUUGAAAUACUUUUUAUAUAUACCAUUAAGAUCAUUCUUAAUUCUGACGGGACAUUGUUAUUCCAAAUAGGGACUAUGAUCUUAAAAGUACUUUUUAUUUCGAAGGGACAUAUAUUAUCGAAGGAACUAUGUUUUAAGACCAUUCUUAAUUCCGAAGGGACAUUGAACCGAAACAGGGACUAUGGUCUUAAGAACACUCUUAAUUUCGAAGGGACAAAAAAAGGAGAUGAAGAGAAGAAAGACUUGUCAACACAAGUCAAAAAAGGGAGAAGAGAGAAAGAGUUCCCGACAACUCAAUGAAACUCUUUGGUGUGAUUUUUGAACUAGGUGAGCUCUCCUUUUAUAGGGAGAGUUUGUAACUAAUUUGGAGAAACUUAAGAAUUAAGUAAACUUAAAAAUUAAGCAACCCAUAUUAGCUCAAGUAACAAACUAAUCGGAUAAGUUCAAAAAGAAACAAAUGUUGGAACAAAAUGUGUUUAACAUCAAACCUUAAGAGUUUUGAUGAUAACAAAGUAUUAAAAAUUGUCAAUUGGAUAUGCUAAUAUUUGUUCAAGCGUACAUGACUAUAGACAAAACUUGAUAUCUUAAAAAGGUCCUGGAAGAACAAUAAAGAGCAAAGGCAUCAACAAAAAGAGAAGCUUAACGCGCCUGAAGAAAACUGCUCCUGAAGUUAAAGCGCUCCUGAUGACGUCAUCAUAAGCAAGUUCAUCAUAAGCUAGUUCAUCAGAAGCAAGUUUAUCAGAAGCUGUGAAUCACCAGAAGCUGCAGUUCAUCAGGAGAUGCAACUUAAAGUUUCAAAAAGUUGUUCAACGGAUUCAAACUCGCCUAAAGAUUGCAGAAGACUAGAGAAGUGAAGCAACGACUAUUUUGGAGGGUUUUGAAAGCAUUGGAUGCUUGUUCUUCAAAGAGCGUUGACAAAGUAUGUUCGAACGAAGUGUACAACCACUACCUCCACUACUCUGUUUUGUCUCUGCUACAAGACAAGAAAAACAGCUAUGCCUGCAACAAUGUUCCUACACAUUGGGAACACGUUUGAAAUUGAUCCUUCAUAGGACAAUAACCAAAUCAGGCAAAGGAUCAUUAGUGAUUGAUCAAAAGUUUCAAACGACUCUAUUUUGAAUGUGCUGGCAAUUCAACGUCUCUCACACACUUCUAUUUAAAGGAGUUAAGACUCAGAGUUCCGAGAACAAUACCAAGAAUUAAAAGCGCCAAAACUCUGCUGAAAUUGUUUUGCAUUCAAGGUUCACUUAGAAUUUCUUAUCAAAGCUCAUAUCUUAGAAAUUCUAGACUCUUUAGAGUCUGUAUCUGAAUUGUAUUGUGAACACCACUGAUUGUAUAUCAAGUGUUCAAACUCAAACAUAAUCUUUGUAAUUCUGUUUUAAUUGAGAAGUCUCUUGCAGUUGUGCUUGAGCAAUAGAAGUCUCUUGAUUGUGUUUAGGAGCAUAGGAAGUCUCUUGCAGUUGUGAUUGAGCAUUUGAAGUCUCGUACUAAGUUUAGUAUUGAACAAUUGUAAUCAGAUAUUAUUUUUAGUGAACUUCUCUUGGAAGUGCAAGGGGGAUAGGACUGACUUCCCGUUUGUGGAAGGAACCUGUAUAAAUUGCUUUGUGUCUUUCUUUCUUCUCUCUCUCUCUCUCUCUGUUUUUAUCCGCUGCAAUUAGUUCUGAACAUCACUUAUGAAGUAAAACUUUAUCUGCUUCUAAACAGUGUUUUCAGAUAGGAGAAAAAGAAGAAAAAACAAACACAAUUCAACCCCCCUUCUUGUGUUUUUCUCACCUUCAACAAACCCACAAGAUUAGAUGAAACAAACUAAUGAAAGAAAGAUAAGAAAUUCAGUUGGAUUCUCAAUCUUAUCACAACAAACAUAACCUAAAAUUGUGAGAAGUGAUAUCCAUGAAUAAAGAAUAAUAAUAAUAAUAAUUUUCAUCAUUAUCAUGUAUUUAAAAUUAAAUACCACUAUUUAAACACUACUAACGUGUUUGUUCUAUUUUACGUGGGACCUCCACACUCUAUUUUUUCAAUUCACACAACACUAGAUCAAAGUUUAAUAACUUGGUGUUUAAUCUUCCAACCUUCCAAUUUCUUUCCAUCUUCACACCAAUGUUCCAACACAUGUUUCGAAGAGAAAAUGGAACUAACGAAGGGUUCCCGAAAGCCUGCAAAGCACUCCAGGAGUCCCCUCCACCCUAAGAUGCCGCCAAUGGUACUUAAUGGAAAAUUCCAGAGCCAACACAAAUCCAAAUAACUAGACCUCUCAAAAACCGAAUUUUGACCCAAGUUGCAAGAAAAACAACCCAAAAAAAUCCUCGAUAUUCAUGAAAAAUACUACCACAAGCAGCUAAGCCAUACAACUGAACCAACCUUAUUUACCUUAACAAAAGGCAAAGUGGGAGCUUUUCAAACGACAAUAAUAAUAGCAGCAACAAUGGUAUGAAUAGAGUAAACAACAGCCGAAAAUAUCAUGAAUUUGAGAACAGCAUGUAAGACCCGUAAUUUUGAUGCGACUAAAUUUAGGGCUUUGUAUUUGUUUUGAUGUUUUUUUUUUUGUUAAUAAAUGAGUUUAUGAAAUGUCUUGACGUUGUCGGAAUUCCAAAAUUUGUUUUCUAUUGAUUUUGAGAAAACAUGUUGGAAGUAUUUGUUGUUUAAAUUUUGAAUGGACCAAGAGCGUCAUGAAAAUUUAAACAAGAGUUUUACACAUUGCUCGUAUGGGUAGAUGAUCUCAUUAUAUUUCUCCAAAUUUUUGAAACAAGAUUUUUGUUGGAAAGUUAUUUUGAUUUCAAAACCAUUACUUGAAAUGAGAAACUCGUUGAGCAAUUUAACUACGUGAGAUCUAGAAUUGAUUCACAUAUGCCGUUUGCUACUCUGUGUGACUGAUUUUGACAUUCAGAAUGUUUGUUAGGCAUGAAAAUGUAAUAUCCCGCAUGUGAGAUUAAGUCACAUAUCGAUACAAGUUAUUUUAUCCUUGGAACUUUCAUGAUCGAAUUAUAUGAUUACAACGGAUUACGGAGAAUGAAAUAUGCCGCUUAAAGUUUUUACAGUAUUUUUUUUAUCAGAUAAAUUAAGUUAAGAAGACCUAGAAGGGGUAAAAUGGUCAUUUCCCAUAAGUGGGGUAUAUAUAAGACAAAAUAUCCAAAAAAGUUUCCACACUUUUCUACCACAUUCUCUCACCCAAAAUCAGAUUUUUCUUCCUCCUUCUCCUAACAUCACGCUAUCUCCCUCUUUCUCAUGCUAUCCACCAAAAAUCAGCACUUCACCAUGGAAUCAUCAUGCUUAUGUGUUUUGCUUGAGUUAUGGAAGAAGUAGAACCUCUAAACAACUUGUUCUCUCAUUCUUCCUCUCCUAAGAAGUUCAUUCAAGUGAUCCUAGCAUGGUUUGAAGAAGUUAGAGCUAAGAUGGUGAUCAUGUAAAGAGAAUUGAAGUUUGUGUUGUAUUUUGAGCUAGAGGCAAGCUUGAGCAAGAUUAAGGCAAGACACCAAGAGCUAGGGUUUGGCUUGGCAAGAAGAUAGAGGCAGGGGCUGAAUGUUGAAACUGAAUGUAAGUAUAAGUGAUUAAUAGCUUAAAUUGAGGUAAAAGUGAUUAUUUUGAGAAGAAAUUUAAGUUAUGUUGAUUCAUUAGAAGUAUAAGCUGUUAUUUCAUUUGGCAUUCUGUGAUGACUCUGUUUUUGGGCUGUUAGUAGUAUCAAUUUUGCUGUUGUUGCUGUUCGGAAUGAAAAGCUAGCAGUUAAAAGUCAUAAGUUGUUCCAAAAGCUAUCAGAAUUGAUUAUUGAGUUAAAACAAGUUAGAAUUUCAAUAUAAGUGUCUUAGGAGAUGUGUAAACAUGUUUGCUUUGAUUCUGGAAAAUUUGAAUUGAAAUGGAAUUGUUUAAAGGUCAUAAGCUGUCAGUUAAGCUGUUGAUUAAGUUGCUGUAACAGUGGUUCAUAGAGAUGAUUAUACAUGUUGGAACUGUUUUGUUGAAGGUUGGGUCGAAAUUGAUAUGACAAAAGUCAUAAGUUGCUAUUUAAUUCGUUUGGAUAAUAGCUUAAAUUAGAAUUUAAGUUGUUUCAGGUAUUAUCUUGUGAAGACCAGCUUAGGAGAGAUAUGUUGAAUUGGUAUAUGAGUAAUGGAAAUAUUAUAAGCUGUUCUAGUAAUGGUAAUUAAGCUGUUUUAGAAGUACUGAAUUCUGGUGCAGGGACUGAAAUGGGAAUUUUUCUAUAUGCUGAUCGAUGAAAUAGGAGUAUGUCACAAGUGGCACUACUACACAUAUGUGUUUUAGUAACAUUCAUCUUGCAACACUUGUUUAAUAGUUACUAAUAUAGAGAUUUUUCUUAACAUUUUUUAGUAAGUGUUACAUUAGUGUCACUCUUUUUCGGUGGUGUUUAUAUCAAAACACAUUCAUAUUCUACUGAAACAAAAAAAACAAAAAACAUUUCAACUCUUUUAACACACACUCUCUCUCUCUCUCUCUCGUCUUCGAGCUAACCAGAAGCAAACGUUCGAACAUGGCCUCAAAGCUAAAUGUGCGAUUACAAUCACAGGUGAAUUCACAAUUCUUCAAUUCCAAAUUCAAUUUCAUCUUCGAUUUCGAAAUUGAUUUUCAACUUCGAUUUCGUAUUUCAUUCAUCUUCGAUUUUAUUUGAAUUCGUCUUUGAUUCUGUAUACGAAUUCAUCUUUCUGUAUUCAAUUUCAUCUUCCAUUUCGUAUUUGAUUUCAUCUUCGAUUAUGUAUUUGUUUUCAUUUUUGGUUUUGCAUCUCCUUGCUUAUUUUUCUUUCACUUUGGUUUUACACGUUGAAAAGAUGGUUGAGAUGAAGUGUGAGUUUUGUAUUGUGUUGGUUUUUGUUUUGAUUUUGCUUUUGUUGUGCUUCAUGGUAGAAUGCUUGUUUUGUGUUUGAUAAAAUGCUGCAACCAAACUUUAUGACACAAUGCCUGUUUUCUGUUUGAUAAAAUGCUUCAAUCAACCUUUAUGGUACAGUGCUUAAUGUUUGUCUGAUAAAAUGCUUGAACCAAAUUUUAUUUACUUCUCUAAUCUCAGAAAUGUGAUUCUCCUGCAUCUAUGCUCUUAAAAAUGUUUUUCGAUUCUGCAAAAUGAACAGAAUUGUUUGUUCGGAAUGCGAUUAUGUGUAAAUUUUAGAUUCGAUCUUAACUAAAAUGUUGGAAACUUAGGAUUGAAGAAAUGGAUAUUAGUUCCUCAAUGAUACAGAAGUCGGUCUGUUUCCCGUCACGCACAACCAAACUAUUGCUGCUUUAGCUCCGACAGUGGGUGGCUAUCAGAGCUAUUAGAAACCUGUAAUAGUGCAAAAGUUCACUUGGCAAUGUAUGUGUUUAGUUGUUUGGCUGAUUUAUGUGUGUAUAAGCUUCCCAUUGCAUAGGAGAAAUGUAACUUUUCAUGUUUGAAGCAAUAUAAAAACUACAAGGAAUCUCCACCUUCAGAUUCAUAGGACAAAAGUUCACUACUGGAUGUAGUUGUUGAAAUUUUAUUAACUUUGAUCUUUAUGGUUCCUCACCACUAGAAAUUUUGGUGUUAGGUUAUCAUGACGAUCUGUAUCAUACCUAACGAACACGUGGACCUGUAGCAAAUAUAUGAGGCAUAUUUGGGUUAUUCUGUAUUACAAAAUGCCAAAAGCUUGUACAAAACUUGCAAAAAGAAAUAAAGAAAAGUCAAAUAUCUUCCCAUUAUUACUAUUUUUUUUUUUUUGUCUAAAUCUGUUAUGUCUUUUGUAGGUUCCAUGUUAAUAAGAUGUCUUCAGCCCAUGUUUAUGCCGGGCUGCUCAUAGGUCACUAUCGAUGACAUGAGUGAAGGUUUAUUGGAAGAUUGUGCUAAACUUGUCAAAGAAAAUUCAAUUCAAGGUAAAAUAUCGCGAUUAAUUAUUCCUAGAUUAGGAUACUGCUACUAGAGUUAUUGUCGAGGGUCUGUGGCCGGAUCAGACAAUUGUUUUCUAUCAGCAAUGUAACAUGUGGUUUACAUUUCAAGAGAUUUAUUUGAUCAAUUGUUGUUUCUCAGGAGUACAAAGGAAACAAAUAAAUAUAAAAUAAUUUGAGAGAGGUGCUAUAUGUCACGAAUACACUUCCUCACUAAUUUCACAAACUCUCUAUUUUUCUAUUUUUUAUUUUUAUACCUGAAAAUAUUUUGAAAAAUAGAACUGCUAGGGCGUAGUAUGUAUCGAUCAUCACGCAACCUCAGCUGCAUAUAUUAAAGAUCCUUAGUGUGUGUCUGCCAAAAAAUAUCACAGUUCAUGAAAACUUGGAUCCAAUGCUAUGAAGUUUGAAUUGUGAAUUUAUAAUGUUUUUUGUUUUCAGAUUUACUUCUAUGAGAAAUUACUUUUGUUUUCUUUCUGAACGUAAUUGUAUAUAUGCUCAUCAUGUUAUGUGAGCAUGACAAAUGAAUAAGUUAUUAAGCUAUUGAUUGUGGAGUGCAUUGCAUUGCUUGUCGUCGCUUUGCCAUGACUUAUAUUACUUGAACAAAUUCUUAUGUCCUACUUAUUGAAGUUCUCUUUGGUAGCAUGGGUUUUGCAUAUUUGUUGCAUACUUUUCUUUGUAGUUACUUUUCUGAAUAUAUAAAAUCAAUAAAAUCUCUGUAAAACAUCUUUAUUUAUCUGUUUUAGUAUUUUUCCCUCAUCUUUAUUUAUAUGCUGCAUUGUGGUUGUAAUGCAUUUGUUUUUCUUCUGAUAUACUGGUUUUGAUUUUGAAGUCCACCGAUGUUUGAACUAUGUUGAAUACAUUGAUUAAGAGUAUAUUUAGAACUAAUUAAGGAAGAAGUUAUAUGAGCGAUUGAGCCUUAUUCUUACAACCCUGUAGGUUUAGUUUCCCUUAGAAAGUUAUUUAUUUUGGUAGGUUAGCUGAAUGGAGGAGUUAAUACUACAAUUAACCGUGUACAAAUAUUUUGUGGUUUAUUUUAGGUUUAGUUUUUAAUAAGAUAUUAAGCAGCGGACGGAAUAAUUUCCUCAUGAGUAUAUCUUCCCCACAGAGCAAAGCAUAGCACAUCAAGAGAAAAAAAGGCAGGGACAAGGUAAAAUUUGCUAGGUCAAUAACAAAAUGGUUUNCUCAAUGAAACUCUUUGGUGUGAUUUUUGAACUAGGUGAGCUCUCCUUUUAUAGGGAGAGUUUGUAACUAAUUUGGAGAAACUUAAGAAUUAAGUAAACUUAAAAAUUAAGCAACCCAUAUUAGCUCAAGUAACAAACUAAUCGGAUAAGUUCAAAAAGAAACAAAUGUUGGAACAAAAUGUGUUUAACAUCAAACCUUAAGAGUUUUGAUGAUAACAAAGUAUUAAAAAUUGUCAAUUGGAUAUGCUAAUAUUUGUUCAAGCGUACAUGACUAUAGACAAAACUUGAUAUCUUAAAAAGGUCCUGGAAGAACAAUAAAGAGCAAAGGCAUCAACAAAAAGAGAAGCUUAACGCGCCUGAAGAAAACUGCUCCUGAAGUUAAAGCGCUCCUGAUGACGUCAUCAUAAGCAAGUUCAUCAUAAGCUAGUUCAUCAGAAGCAAGUUUAUCAGAAGCUGUGAAUCACCAGAAGCUGCAGUUCAUCAGGAGAUGCAACUUAAAGUUUCAAAAAGUUGUUCAACGGAUUCAAACUCGCCUAAAGAUUGCAGAAGACUAGAGAAGUGAAGCAACGACUAUUUUGGAGGGUUUUGAAAGCAUUGGAUGCUUGUUCUUCAAAGAGCGUUGACAAAGUAUGUUCGAACGAAGUGUACAACCACUACCUCCACUACUCUGUUUUGUCUCUGCUACAAGACAAGAAAAACAGCUAUGCCUGCAACAAUGUUCCUACACAUUGGGAACACGUUUGAAAUUGAUCCUUCAUAGGACAAUAACCAAAUCAGGCAAAGGAUCAUUAGUGAUUGAUCAAAAGUUUCAAACGACUCUAUUUUGAAUGUGCUGGCAAUUCAACGUCUCUCACACACUUCUAUUUAAAGGAGUUAAGACUCAGAGUUCCGAGAACAAUACCAAGAAUUAAAAGCGCCAAAACUCUGCUGAAAUUGUUUUGCAUUCAAGGUUCACUUAGAAUUUCUUAUCAAAGCUCAUAUCUUAGAAAUUCUAGACUCUUUAGAGUCUGUAUCUGAAUUGUAUUGUGAACACCACUGAUUGUAUAUCAAGUGUUCAAACUCAAACAUAAUCUUUGUAAUUCUGUUUUAAUUGAGAAGUCUCUUGCAGUUGUGCUUGAGCAAUAGAAGUCUCUUGAUUGUGUUUAGGAGCAUAGGAAGUCUCUUGCAGUUGUGAUUGAGCAUUUGAAGUCUCGUACUAAGUUUAGUAUUGAACAAUUGUAAUCAGAUAUUAUUUUUAGUGAACUUCUCUUGGAAGUGCAAGGGGGAUAGGACUGACUUCCCGUUUGUGGAAGGAACCUGUAUAAAUUGCUUUGUGUCUUUCUUUCUUCUCUCUCUCUCUCUCUCUGUUUUUAUCCGCUGCAAUUAGUUCUGAACAUCACUUAUGAAGUAAAACUUUAUCUGCUUCUAAACAGUGUUUUCAGAUAGGAGAAAAAGAAGAAAAAACAAACACAAUUCAACCCCCCUUCUUGUGUUUUUCUCACCUUCAACAAACCCACAAGAUUAGAUGAAACAAACUAAUGAAAGAAAGAUAAGAAAUUCAGUUGGAUUCUCAAUCUUAUCACAACAAACAUAACCUAAAAUUGUGAGAAGUGAUAUCCAUGAAUAAAGAAUAAUAAUAAUAAUAAUUUUCAUCAUUAUCAUGUAUUUAAAAUUAAAUACCACUAUUUAAACACUACUAACGUGUUUGUUCUAUUUUACGUGGGACCUCCACACUCUAUUUUUUCAAUUCACACAACACUAGAUCAAAGUUUAAUAACUUGGUGUUUAAUCUUCCAACCUUCCAAUUUCUUUCCAUCUUCACACCAAUGUUCCAACACAUGUUUCGAAGAGAAAAUGGAACUAACGAAGGGUUCCCGAAAGCCUGCAAAGCACUCCAGGAGUCCCCUCCACCCUAAGAUGCCGCCAAUGGUACUUAAUGGAAAAUUCCAGAGCCAACACAAAUCCAAAUAACUAGACCUCUCAAAAACCGAAUUUUGACCCAAGUUGCAAGAAAAACAACCCAAAAAAAUCCUCGAUAUUCAUGAAAAAUACUACCACAAGCAGCUAAGCCAUACAACUGAACCAACCUUAUUUACCUUAACAAAAGGCAAAGUGGGAGCUUUUCAAACGACAAUAAUAAUAGCAGCAACAAUGGUAUGAAUAGAGUAAACAACAGCCGAAAAUAUCAUGAAUUUGAGAACAGCAUGUAAGACCCGUAAUUUUGAUGCGACUAAAUUUAGGGCUUUGUAUUUGUUUUGAUGUUUUUUUUUUUGUUAAUAAAUGAGUUUAUGAAAUGUCUUGACGUUGUCGGAAUUCCAAAAUUUGUUUUCUAUUGAUUUUGAGAAAACAUGUUGGAAGUAUUUGUUGUUUAAAUUUUGAAUGGACCAAGAGCGUCAUGAAAAUUUAAACAAGAGUUUUACACAUUGCUCGUAUGGGUAGAUGAUCUCAUUAUAUUUCUCCAAAUUUUUGAAACAAGAUUUUUGUUGGAAAGUUAUUUUGAUUUCAAAACCAUUACUUGAAAUGAGAAACUCGUUGAGCAAUUUAACUACGUGAGAUCUAGAAUUGAUUCACAUAUGCCGUUUGCUACUCUGUGUGACUGAUUUUGACAUUCAGAAUGUUUGUUAGGCAUGAAAAUGUAAUAUCCCGCAUGUGAGAUUAAGUCACAUAUCGAUACAAGUUAUUUUAUCCUUGGAACUUUCAUGAUCGAAUUAUAUGAUUACAACGGAUUACGGAGAAUGAAAUAUGCCGCUUAAAGUUUUUACAGUAUUUUUUUUAUCAGAUAAAUUAAGUUAAGAAGACCUAGAAGGGGUAAAAUGGUCAUUUCCCAUAAGUGGGGUAUAUAUAAGACAAAAUAUCCAAAAAAGUUUCCACACUUUUCUACCACAUUCUCUCACCCAAAAUCAGAUUUUUCUUCCUCCUUCUCCUAACAUCACGCUAUCUCCCUCUUUCUCAUGCUAUCCACCAAAAAUCAGCACUUCACCAUGGAAUCAUCAUGCUUAUGUGUUUUGCUUGAGUUAUGGAAGAAGUAGAACCUCUAAACAACUUGUUCUCUCAUUCUUCCUCUCCUAAGAAGUUCAUUCAAGUGAUCCUAGCAUGGUUUGAAGAAGUUAGAGCUAAGAUGGUGAUCAUGUAAAGAGAAUUGAAGUUUGUGUUGUAUUUUGAGCUAGAGGCAAGCUUGAGCAAGAUUAAGGCAAGACACCAAGAGCUAGGGUUUGGCUUGGCAAGAAGAUAGAGGCAGGGGCUGAAUGUUGAAACUGAAUGUAAGUAUAAGUGAUUAAUAGCUUAAAUUGAGGUAAAAGUGAUUAUUUUGAGAAGAAAUUUAAGUUAUGUUGAUUCAUUAGAAGUAUAAGCUGUUAUUUCAUUUGGCAUUCUGUGAUGACUCUGUUUUUGGGCUGUUAGUAGUAUCAAUUUUGCUGUUGUUGCUGUUCGGAAUGAAAAGCUAGCAGUUAAAAGUCAUAAGUUGUUCCAAAAGCUAUCAGAAUUGAUUAUUGAGUUAAAACAAGUUAGAAUUUCAAUAUAAGUGUCUUAGGAGAUGUGUAAACAUGUUUGCUUUGAUUCUGGAAAAUUUGAAUUGAAAUGGAAUUGUUUAAAGGUCAUAAGCUGUCAGUUAAGCUGUUGAUUAAGUUGCUGUAACAGUGGUUCAUAGAGAUGAUUAUACAUGUUGGAACUGUUUUGUUGAAGGUUGGGUCGAAAUUGAUAUGACAAAAGUCAUAAGUUGCUAUUUAAUUCGUUUGGAUAAUAGCUUAAAUUAGAAUUUAAGUUGUUUCAGGUAUUAUCUUGUGAAGACCAGCUUAGGAGAGAUAUGUUGAAUUGGUAUAUGAGUAAUGGAAAUAUUAUAAGCUGUUCUAGUAAUGGUAAUUAAGCUGUUUUAGAAGUACUGAAUUCUGGUGCAGGGACUGAAAUGGGAAUUUUUCUAUAUGCUGAUCGAUGAAAUAGGAGUAUGUCACAAGUGGCACUACUACACAUAUGUGUUUUAGUAACAUUCAUCUUGCAACACUUGUUUAAUAGUUACUAAUAUAGAGAUUUUUCUUAACAUUUUUUAGUAAGUGUUACAUUAGUGUCACUCUUUUUCGGUGGUGUUUAUAUCAAAACACAUUCAUAUUCUACUGAAACAAAAAAAACAAAAAACAUUUCAACUCUUUUAACACACACACACACUCUCUCUCUCUCUCUCUCUCGUCUUCGAGCUAACCAGAAGCAAACGUUCGAACAUGGCCGCAAAGCUAAAUGUGCGAUUACAAUCACAGGUGAAUUCACAAUUCUUCAAUUCCGAAUUCAAUUUCAUCUUCGAUUUCGAAAUUGAUUUUCAACUUCGAUUUCGUAUUUCAUUCAUCUUCGAUUUUAUUUGAUUUCGUCUUUGAUUCUGUAUACGAAUUCAUCUUUCUGUAUUCAAUUUCAUCUUCCAUUUCGUAUUUGAUUUCAUCUUCGAUUAUGUAUUUGUUUUCAUUUUUGGUUUCGCAUCUCCUUGCUUAUUUUUCUUUCACUUUGGUUUUACACGUUGAAAAGAUGGUUGAGAUGAAGUGUGAGUUUUGUAUUGUGUUGGUUUUUGUUUUGAUUUUGCUUUUGUUGUGCUUCAUGGUAGAAUGCUUGUUUUGUGUUUGAUAAAAUGCUGCAACCAAACUUUAUGACACAAUGCCUGUUUUCUGUUUGAUAAAAUGCUUCAAUCAACCUUUUAUGGUACAGUGCUUAAUGUUUGUCUGAUAAAAUGCUUGAACCAAAUUUUAUUUACUUCUCUAAUCUCAGAAAUGUGAUUCUCCUGCAUCUAUGCUCUUAAAAAUGUUUUUCGAUUCUGCAAAAUGAACAGAAUUGUUUGUUCGGAAUGCGAUUAUGUGUAAAUUUUAGAUUCGAUCUUAACUAAAAUGUUGGAAACUUAGGAUUGAAGAAAUGGAUAUUAGUUCCUCAAUGAUACAGAAGUCGGUCUGUUUCCCGUCACGCACAACCAAACUAUUGCUGCUUUAGCUCCGACUGUGGGUGGCUAUCAGAGCUAUUAGAAACCUGUAAUAGUGCAAAAGUUCACUUGGCAAUGUAUGUGUUUAGUUGUUUGGCUGAUUUAUGUGUGUAUAAGCUUCCCAUUGCAUAGGAGAAAUGUAACUUUUCAUGUUUGAAGCAAUAUAAAAACUACAAGGAAUCUCCACCUUCAGAUUCAUAGGACAAAAGUUCACUACUGGAUGUAGUUGUUGAAAUUUUAUUAACUUUGAUCUUUAUGGUUCCUCACCACUAGAAAUUUUGGUGUUAGGUUAUCAUGACGAUCUGUAUCAUACCUAACGAACACGUGGACCUGUAGCAAAUAUAUGAGGCAUAUUUGGGUUAUUCUGUAUUACAAACUGCCAAAAGCUUGUACAAAACUUGCAAAAAGAAAUAAAGAAAAGUCAAAUAUCUUCCCAUUAUUACUAUUUUUUUUUUUUUGUCUAAAUCUGUUAUGUCUUUUGUAGGUUCCAUGUUAAUAAGAUGUCUUCAGCCCAUGUUUAUGCCGGGCUGCUCAUAGGUCACUAUCGAUGACAUGAGUGAAGGUUUAUUGGAAGAUUGUGCUCAACUUGUCAAAGAAAAUUCAAUUCAAGGUAAAAUAUCGCGAUUAAUUAUUCCUAGUUUAGGAUACUGCUACUAGAGUUAUUGUCGAGGGUCUGUGGCCGGAUCAGACAAUUGUUUUCUAUCAGCAAUGUAACAUGUGGUUUACAUUUCAAGAGAUUUAUUUGAUCAAUUGUUGUUUCUCAGGAGUACAAAGGAAACAAAUAAAUAUAAAAUAAUUUGAGAGAGGUGCUAUAUGUCACGAAUACACUUCCUCACUAAUUUCACAAACUCUCUAUUUUUCUAUUUUUUAUUUUUAUACCUGAAAAUAUUUUGAAAAAUAGAACUGCUAGGGCGUAGUAUGUAUCGAUCAUCACGCAACCUCAGCUGCAUAUAUUAAAGAUCCUUAGUGUGUGUCUGCCAAAAAAUAUCACAGUUCAUGAAAACUUGGAUCCAAUGCUAUGAAGUUUGAAUUGUGAAUUUAUAAUGUUUUUUGUUUUCAGAUUUACUUCUAUGAGAAAUUACUUUUGUUUUCUUUCUGAACGUAAUUGUAUAUAUGCUCAUCAUGUUAUGUGUGCAUGACAAAUGAAUAAGUUAUUAAGCUAUUGAUUGUGGAGUGCAUUGCAUUGCUUGUCGUCGCUUUGCCAUGACUUAUAUUACUUGAACAAAUUCUUAUGUCCUACUUAUUGAAGUUCUCUUUGGUAGCAUGGGUUUUGCAUAUUUGUUGCAUACUUUUCUUUGUAGUUACUUUUCUGAAUAUAUAAAAUCAAUAAAAUCUCUGUAAAACAUCUUUAUUUAUCUGUUUUAGUAUUUUUCCCUCAUCUUUAUUUAUAUGCUGCAUUGUGGUUGUAAUGCAUUUGUUUUUCUUCUGAUAUACUGGUUUUGAUUUUGAAGUCCACCGAUGUUUGAACUAUGUUGAAUACAUUGAUUAAGAGUAUAUUUAGAACUAAUUAAGGAAGAAGUUAUAUGAGCGAUUGAGCCUUAUUCUUACAACCCUGUAGGUUUAGUUUCCCUUAGAAAGUUAUUUAUUUUGGUAGGUUAGCUGAAUGGAGGAGUUAAUACUACAGUUAACCGUGUACAAAUAUUUUGUGGUUUAUUUUAGGUUUAGUUUUUAAUAAGAUAUUAAGCAGCGGACGGAAUAAUUUCCUCAUGAGUAUAUCUUCCCCACAGAGCAAAGCAUAGCACAUCAAGAGAAAAAAAGGCAGGGACAAGGUAAAAUUUGCUAGGUCAAUAACAAAAUGGUUUAAAGGGGACCUUAAUGGAGCACAAGAAUCUGCAAUUGGCUGCCGUUGUUAAGCUUUCAUUUGGUUAUCUCUACUUUGACAAUGAUUUCUUCACGUUUCCUUGUCUUUUUUGUGGAUUUAGUUUUCUCGUUCCUUUCUGACUCCCUGUGUUCGUAACUGGGGUUUUUUGUUGUGAAAUUUUCUCAGCUCUUGUUACAGCGGAUAUGAUAUACUGUGAUUUUAAAGCUGCAGCUAACCUUAAUAUUACGAACAUGCGGACCCUUGGAUUUUACGGUUCAUUUUCUUGCCUUGAAUGCACUUGUUCUGGAAAAUAGGUGUCCUUUGGCAUUGUAAUGUGUCAUUGUUUAGAAUUAUUAAACUAAAUAUUAGGAGAGCUUCAACAAUAUUUAUGAUUCUGUCCAUCUUUCUUGGAUAAUCAAGAGAUACACUUCUGUUUUGCAGAGGGCUAAAGUUUGGAUAUCUACAACGUUUGGAGAUACACUACUAUUCCAGAUAUAUCAAAGUCGUUCUUUACUUUUUAAGUUUUGGGCUUUGUUCUUAAGACAUGCUGCAGAUUGGAUUGUGAAUCUAUUUUUCUGUUCAAUAUUUCUGUUGAUUAUGAGUAUUUCUUGAUUUCUUAUUUUCCUGUUUGGUGCUCCAAGAGAGGUGAUCUAUUAAUGUUGAGUAUUCCUUCUGGUUAGUUUUGUCUCUUGAUGUUGUGGUUUGAUUUAGUUCUUGCUGGUGUUGGUCUUAGUGGUUGCUGUACUUAUUUUAAUGAUCAUCACAAAUAAUGAAUUGUUAGUUAAUUGUCAUUCUGAUUCUUGUCUGCAAAAUAUAGAAUUCUUCAGUUGUGGUUCAUUAUUAUUUUUAUUUUUAGGAUUUGUUUGCAAAACACUAGAAUUGAAAUGUUAUUCAUGUGACACCUUAAGAUUAGUGGCCACUAGCUAGGAAGACAUCCUCCACUGAAUCUAUGACCACCACCAAGUUCCUUUAAAUGUGUUCCCAGUGCCAUAUAUACUUUUCUAUCACUGUACAAUGUCUGAAUUGAUAUAUGAUUUGAAUUAUAAGAUUAUCUUUAUUAGAGUUAAACUCCUAUCAUGCUCAGAUACAAAAGCUCGUGUAAUUUGGGGAGUUUAUUCUAAUUGAGUUCUGUCUCCACUAUCUAUGAAGUCUUUGUUGAAUGCAAAUUCCCCUGCUGUUGUUUAUUCUAAUUGAAUUGUGAAUUCUAAGAUUAUCUCUAUUAGCUAUUACACUUGUUUUUCUUAGUAUCCUUGUUGAGCAUGGUAUCAACGUUGCAGCUUGGUAAGUUUCAAUUGAUAAUGAUUUUCAUGACAGAAUCGUCCUUUGCAUUAAAAUUGUUGCACAAUACUGGUGAUGAGAUAAGGAAGGGAUGUCUGCAAUCUUGCUGGCAGAACAUUAUGAAGAUGAUUGCGGAUAAGCAACGGCACAAGACAAAGGAGAUUAAAGAGAAGGCUUGCAUUUCUCAUGUGCAGCUUGAUGACCUUAAAGAGAAGGGGGGAAAUUGUGUUGGAUGAAAACUUAAUUGUAAUCAUUUUUGUAUGUAAUUCAAAUUGUGUUGUAUAGUUCAAAUUGUGUUGCAUAGUUUAUUUUCGUCAUGCAAGAAUAAGAACAGAGAAGAGGGGAACUUUUAUAGAGUAUGUAAUUCAAACUAGUUAUUAAAACUUGUAUCUAAUAUUGGUUAAUUCAAAUAUGAAUGAAGUCUAAACUUGUAUCUAAAAUUAGUUUAGACAAUUUUGCGACAUUUUUUACAACUCCUCAAAAAUUAUAAAUGUAACACUUUUUUAUUGUUACAAGUGAUACAAAAAGUGUUACAAUAAGGUACCAUUUGCAACACUUUUUGAUUGUUACAGAUAGUACUAUAAAAUGUAACUAAAACACUUUAGUAACACGGGCUUUAUCUAACAAUUGUUCAAGUGUUGCUAAAUUUAAUUAGUAACAUUUUUCUUGAUUUAGUUACAAUUUUCAAGUGUUACUAAUUGCCAUUAGAAGUACUGAAUUCUGGUGCAGGGACUGAAAUGGGAAUUUUUCUAUAUGCUGAUCGAUGAAAUAGGAGCAUGUCACAAGUGGGUUGGGCUGUUUCGGAAAAGGCAAGACCUACAAGUCAAGGCAUAAGCUAUUUUGGAAAAGCGAUUAUAGAGUUUUGGAGAUAGCAGAAGUUGGAGAUUUUGGAUAAGUUGCUUUGCAAUUUUUGGGAGUAAUUCAAGGUGAGUUCCUUAGUUAGUUAACUCUCCCUUUGGGUAGUUUGAAUCAUGUCAUUGAAAUGGUGCUAUUUCCUUUUACUCAAUACAAUUGAGGUUUUAAUGGUUAUGCAAAUUCAUGAUAAUGUGAAUGAAAUUGUAUAUGAUAUGAAUGUUAUGAAAGUAUUUGUAACACCCCGUUUUCCCAACGUAAAAAUUUCAUUUAAUUAAUCAGAGUAUUCACAUUAACGGAAUAUCACGUUCUUUUCUUAAAAUCAUAAACUGAAUAAAUAACUAUUUAUCCUUUAAAAUUCAAUAACAAAAUCUUUAAUAUUUCGCAGCGGAGUUUAUUCAGUAACUAAAAACAGUAUUUGGCACUAAGGCCUCUUUAUAAAUGUUCUCAUAAAAAUCAAAUCUAAAAACAUAGUCAUAAAUCUUCAGAAUCAAUACGUAAGGAAUAGAAAAGUAAUAACAAAGUCCUCAUCCCGUUACGUAUCAGAGCACCUAAGACACUUGAGCCACCACUCCUACUAAUCAUUAAUACCUGCAAGUUACUCAUACGAAGAGCAACAUUUCCAAGCAGAAGGGGUGAGAUUUCACAAAACAAUAAUAUCAAGCAUAUAAUUCAAUAAUUAUAUUUAACAACAUAAAUAACUUCAUCUAUUAGUAAUAAUAAUUCUUCAUGUAAUAAUUCUUAAUAGUUCAAUCAUCUUCUAAUUAUCAUUUACUUCAUAUUCAUCAUAUAACACAUAUUAACCAAAUCGUAACAAACAUAGAUCAUCACAUCAUAGUCAUAGUUCAUAUAUAGUAUAACAACAUCUUAAUCCUAAUUCAUAUACAACAUAACAACAUCAUUAAUUCAUAAUAAUAAUUAUUCAUCAAACAUCUCUUUAUCAAUUCAUGAAUAAAAGACAGCUUAUCAACUUAACAUAUACAUCAUCAAGUACACCUAACAACUCAUAGAUAUCUUCAUGUAAUCAUCAUCACUAAUAACUUUAAAACAACACAAUGUAAUCAAUAUCUCACUAUAAUAAUAAUCAUAUACGACACAACAUAAUUAUCGCUUAAUAAUAAUAAUCAUAUACAAUACAACAUAAAUCAUCAUCUCAUAAUGAUAUGAACAACACAUAUUAAUCAUCUUAUAUUAAUAUAACAACAUAUACAUCGUCUUGUCAUAAUAUAAUAAUAUAACAACAACAUAUUCAUCUUCUUGUAUUAAUAUAACAAUAACGUAUUCAUCAUCUUAUAAAAUAUAACAACAACAUAACAUAAUAUUCACUUAAUAAUAAUUAAUCAUAUAUGGUACAACAUAAUCAUCACUUAAUAAUGACAAUUAUAUACAUCACAACAUAUAGCAUCAUAAAUACAUCACAUAAUCAACAUCGUAAACAUCAUCAUAACAUUAUAAUCAGUAUCAUAUACAAUAUCAUAACAACAUAACAAUAUCAUAAUCAAUAUCUUAAACAACAUAGCAACAUCUUAGUCAACUUUAUAUAGUUCACAUCAUAAACAUCGUAUAAUCUUCAUAGGUACUUCUUUAACAACACAUGGGUAGAAGACAACUCGACAACUCAUAGAUGAUAAUUCAUCACAACUUAACAACUCAUGGAUGAUAAUUCAUCAACAACGACUUUGACUCGACAAAUGCGACAAUGCAACUUAGACACUUAUAUGCAUGUGGUACCAAUCGUCAUCAUAAGUAUUAAUAUACUUUAAUCGUGCGGAGGACAAAGCUUCUAAUCGUGCGGAGGACAAAGCUUCUAAUCAUGGUGAGGACAAAGCUCAAUGAAUGCUAAUGCAUGGACUCUAUCAACAAGACGCCUUAAUCAACUUAUCACUUAUACAUCCAAUAAUUUGGAGUUCAUCAUCAACUUAUUCAUACUCAUGCAACUUAGUUAAAUAAUAAUUGCAGCAUAAUCAAAUCACAUCAAGCUUAAUAACAAUUCAUUUCAACAACAUCUUGAUCAUUCAAUAAUAUUUCGAGUAAUGCAUUUAAUCAUGAAAUCACAUUACAAACAACUUAGCAGUUCAUAACAGCAACAGAAACAGCACAAGUAAUUCACAACAUAACAAUAUUAGUGUGAAGCAUUAACAACUUAAACAUCAUACAUCUUCCACAUAAGGCAUAUAAAUAUUUCACAUAACCAACAACAGCAACAUAGGCGACACGUAAACAUCUCAAGAUAUAACAAUAUCAAAUGAUAAUCAACAACAACUUAAACAUCAUAUAUAAUUCACAUAAUGCAUAUACAAAUAUAUUACAUUACUAUCAACACUAAUUCAUAUUAUAAUAGCUUCACAAAUCAUCAAUAAUAUUAUAUUCAACCCACAUUCCUACCCCAACACUAAAUCAUAUUAUUAUACUCUUAAACACCUUAAUUGAACUCAUAGAACUUCUAGUUUUGAGGGUUGGUAUUAUCCUAUAAGUUUUGGAUUAACUUAGAAAUGGUUAUGCUGAAUUUUCAUAAGAUUUCACUGUGACCUACGUGCAGUAAUUUGACCAUAACUCAAGUUCUAUAAAUCGUUUUGACGUCAAUACCAGUUUCGUGUUUACAACUUUCGUGUUUACACCUAAGAUCAAUUCUGUACCAAUCAAUACCAGUUUUCAUUUCAAAUUCGGACAAAGUUGUGCUGAAAUUCAUAAAAAUUUACUAAGACCUCCUUGGAGUAUUUUCAUCAUAUCUCAAACACCAAAAAUCAUUUUCAUGUCAAACCAAAGCCACUGAAAAGCUAACACAAUUAUCUACAACUUUUAUGUUUACACCAAAGGCCAAUUCAAAACAGAAACGUGUGAAAAAAACGCAAGAAUGCGGAACAGAGAAUGCUGUCAAAGUGUAGCUCGCGAGGCGAGUAAGUGUACUCGCUGUGGCGAGUUGCGACGGACAAAUCUACGGGAACAGACCAGUUUUCACUCCAAAAGCCCCAAUUUCAUCAACCCAAAUACCAAAUUUGAUAGGAAACUCAACCUAUGUUUAUUCUAUAGCCUGAACUUCAAUUCUUAACACAAUUUCGAUGGUUUCUACACUUUUCAAUUCAAAAAUCAAUAAUCAAAACCUAAUCCCAAUUAUACAACCUAAGAACAACAACAUGUUAAAUCACAAAUUCAAAAUCAUAGGCUUAAGAAGAUUGAAUGUUAGUCUCACCCUUACCUUAAAGAAUGAAAAUCGCAGCCUCUAGGUCUUCUCCCUCUUCUCUUGGCUUUUUCCUCCUUUUUUCAAAAACAGUCGUACGUGCAAUUGUUUUUCUAAAACUAGGUUUUCUGUCCUUUUUAUAAAAAUCUUAACCUACUUAUUUUUCUCUUAAAUCCCAAUCUUAAUAUUCUAUCCCAAUAUAUAUAUAUAUAUAUAUAUAUAUAUAUAUAUAUAUAUAUAUAUAUUUUCCAUAACAAAUCAUUUAUACUUCUAUAACAAAUGACAUAUAUUUCUAUAACAAAUCAUAUAUAUUUCUAUAACAAAUCAUAUAUAUUUCUACAACAAAUAACAUUUAUAUUUCUAAAUCAAAUAAUAUAUAUAUAUAUAUAUAUAUAUAUAUAUAUUUCUAAAUCAAAUAGUAUAUAUAUUAUACUAAUAAAUACCAACAUAUAACAUAUCAAAAUAUCACUCAUCAAAAUAAAUCAUAUAAAUCACACAAAUCAUAUAAGUAUAUUCUAAACUCAUUAAAAUAAUCAAAUAAUUAGAGAGGGCGUGACAGUAUUGAUCAUGUGAAUUGGUUCUAGCAAUAAAACACUAAGCAAGACAAUUGAUUUAUAUACUUAUAUAAAUUAUUUGAAAGAAAAAUUGAAAUGCGUAACAUGCUCAUAGUAAAAAAUGUGAAAACUCUGUUUGCUACAACGAAGAGAUAAUGUAGCCUAUGAGGUACGACUCAUAGUAACAAAUGUGAAAAUCCGUUUUCUACAACGAAGAGAUAAUGUAGCCUAUAGUAACAAAUGUGAAAACUCCGUUUGCUACAACGAAGAGAUAAUGUAGCCUAUAAGGUACGACUCAUAGUAAAAAAUGUGAAAACUCCGUUUGCUACAACGAAGAGAUAAUGUAGCAUAUGAGAUACGGCUCAUAGUAAAAAAUGUGAAAACUCCGUUUGCUACAACGAAGAGAUAAUGUAGCCUAUGAGGUACGGCUCAUGUAACAAGAAAAAAAAUAUUGUUCGCCACAACGAAGAGAUAUAUGCACAUAGUAAAAUGUUUAAUUAAUGACUUGAACUUUUAGUUAAGAAUUGUGAUUAUGAUCAAUAUGAGUAUGUGUAUAAAUAAGAAUAUGACAUUAUGACAAAAUCAUGAUAGUAUUCUUCGUAGCGAUCUUAGUUAUCCGCGAUCGCUCAGUUAUGUAUGAUAAAGACUGUAUAAACCCGAAAUGGGUUGUGUUUAGAACAUAUGGCGAUCCUAGGUUCUCUGAGAUUGCCUACAACCUAGGAUAGGUGGAACUCACUGAGACAUCCUGUCUCACCCCAAUCCUUUUUACUUAUUUCAGAUAUUCAAGUUACUAGAUGACACAAUGGUUCGUGAUGAAGAAGCAGAAGUCGCUGGACCAUAUAAAGUUCACGUCAGUGGUAUUAUUUCAGAGUUAUAAGACGAGAACUUCCAUAUCUUAUUCAGAGGAAGUUUUGAUUAUUCUAAUUUUAAUGUAUCCAAUGCCAACUUUAACACAAAUGCUAGAUAAAUCCUAGGUAAUUUCUAGUAGGGGUGUUACAGUAAACAUGGAAUAUGUUUUUGUGACUUGCAUGAUUUUGUGCUUUCUUAAUCUUGUUGAACCUUUUUGUGAGGUUUGGACUUUCGGGUAGAAUCAAUUAUAUUAAUGAAUCUUGAGAGUCAUUAUAUUCAUUCAGGGAAUUUAUAUUCCGUCGAGAUGAUUUUUGGGAAUUUAAUAAUAUUAGACCGGCGACUUGAGUAAAUCUUAGAAAAAGAAAAUAUUAGAGAUGACUAGUGGUUUUUGAAUAAGGAGACAAUUCUAAGAUGUUUGGGACCGAUUAGAAGUCCAUCUGAGUUAGAUAGAACUUUAUCAGUUAUGUGUACCUUAAAACCGUGAAAUACGAUUUCAGUUUAUUUCCAAAAUCAAAACACUAUAUAUAGUAAGUUUGUGGUCCAAAACUCAUUAAUCAACAAAUUUACUCUAUUCUCUAUCCAAACCCGUAAGCCACCCUCCCUCCUCCAUCUUCAUCUUGUUUUGGAUGUAACUUCUUCGUUCCUUAUCCGAAUCGCGCAAACGAGAUAUCAAAACGAAGCUAGUGACGAAUCCUACGGUCCGAUACAUGAUUCACUGUGAUUUGAUGAGGUAUUCCUCUCCUUUUUCAUUUUUUUAAACUCGGUUUUGGGUAUUUUUGGAUAUUGGAUGUUGAGUUUUGAUUUUCUUGCGUGAUGUUAUGCAUUAAUGUUGUUCGGUAAGUCCGAAUGAAUAUACUCCCUCCGUCCCAUAAUAACUGAGCCAUUUGCAAAAAAAUAUUGUCCUAGAAAAAUUGACCCAUUUCAAUUUUCAAUACAAUAUUAAUUACUUUUUUCCAAUUAUAACACUAAUUAAUACUACUUUCACCAUUCCUAAUUCAAUAUAUUCUACUAUGCAUUUAUGAUAAAAAAGAAUGCACCAAUAGUUGAUAAGGGCACUCAAACCCAUUUUUCUCUCUCUUUUGCGGAGGGAGUAUAUCCACAAAAAUAUUUAUGAUUCGACUAUUUUUAAAUUUUAGCAUUAUUGGAAAAGUGUCUAAAUGUGAAUUUUAUUUGAUAUUUAUGAUAUAGACGAGUAAAUGAGUUGAUUCAACCUAUUUGUUUUCAAAAAAUGUUGUCCCGACGAAAGCGCUGAACCGUGUAGGGGCAUUUUUGUAAUUUUUGAAUUGUUGAAAUAUGAAAAUGAGUUGAGAAAUGGAUUUGCGUCGAUGAGACAGUCGAAAUGGAUAUAUGGUUUGCGACGUUUUGAGUAGGGAUGAAUUUAUUGUGAUUUUUUGAAAGUAGUUUAAAUUUGAGCUACCGCUGGAAGUGACUGUUGACACUUUCAAAAUUCAAAUUUUAAAUGUUUGAAUUGGUGAGUUGUGAAAAUAUUUUUUUCUGUGAAUUUAUGUUAGGUUGGCCGAGUCAAAGGCUCUAGUAUACGAUGUAAACACAAAGGAGACUGUUGAAAAUUCGUCAGAAUCAUUUUCUUAGUUUUGGGGUGAUUUUGAAAAGAUGUUUCAAAACGGAAAACAAGUUGGGAUUCAUUUGGAAAUGAAAAAUAUUUUAUGAACAAUUUUGAUCUCUUUAAGGUCUUUUGAUAGACAUAAAGUAUUUGAGAAAAAUGUUUUCAUGGGUGAUUUUAAGGAGAAAAGUUAUUUUAUUUAGUGUCUUCGAAGUAUUUGAGAAUAUUUUUGAAACAAAAUAUUUUUAGCGGUUGAAAUUUGGAAAGAAAAGUCUUUUCAUAAAGAGUUUCCUUCAAUAUACUUUUGUUAACUUUAGGUCAUGAGAUGACUUAAAUAAUUUCAAGGAUUUUGAGAUGAAUGUCGUAUUGAAAAAUAUAUUAUUUAAGUUUUUGAAAAUAUUGAAUUGAUCGUAUUUUCAAGCGUUGUUGAUAUUUCACCAAGAACGGGUAGAGAGUUUUAGAGCCGAUUUUUACCUAAGUUAUUGUAUCUAUUAGGAUACAUAGCUCGAGGGUUUAGAGAUGUUCUUGUUGUAGAUGCUUACGAGUUGGAGAGCUGUAUGUUUUAAGGAAUGUGUUGCUCAGGUAAGGGCAUUUUCUAGAAACUCCAUAGUUACUUAAAUGCUUGGAUGAUUUAUGUGCUAAUUUGUCUAUUGUGAAUAUGAUAUUUUGAGUGAAUGUGUCUGCUCAGUGUGGGAUCUGUAUGCCAUCAAUGUGAUUAUGAUAAGUUGAUGUGCAUCGCUUUCAUAUGAUUUAUGAGUAAAUAUAUGAAAUGCAUGUUGUUUUGUGAAAUGUUGUUUCGUAUGAAUUGAAAUAAAAUAUGUAAACUGCCAGUUGAGGCAUGUUAAAAAUAUGGAACUUCCAGUUGAGGCAUGUUAUUAUCAAUGCAUAUAUUAAAUGAUAUGUAAGAGUUACAUUUGCACAUAUUGAGUGGACAAUAUAUGCUCAUAGCACGUGUACGCACAAAUUUUAUAGUACGCGUUAGUCAGUUGCGACGCGCGGGGUGUGGACUGCCGUGAAGGAACCCACUUUAAAUCUAUGAGAUUUAUUGAGUCUUGGUUGCUCGACCAUUGUGGGGGGUUUAUCUCAGAUGUGUCUGAAUGGGGACCACAUGAUUUGCUCGACCAUUGUGGGGGGUUUUCCUCAGAUGUAUCCAUAUGAUAAUCAUGAAUUUCUUAGUAGGUUUUGCCUAUGACCAUCUGCAGAGUGGAUUAUUUCGGAAUCAUUUGCUAGGCUAAUUGUACAUCAUUAUAUUUUGUGUGAGGAAUGUUUAUGUUGAUACAAUUUACCAUUCUAGUUUGCUAUGCCUGCUGUAUUUUUGUAAUUAUGUUGUAGCAGUUUGACAGUCAGGCUUGAUGUCAUUGGUGGGUUCUUGUACCCUGUCAUCUAGUUCAGAGUUAAAUAGGAUCAGCUUAGUUGUAUUCAUGUAGAGUCCUUUGUGUAAUUUUUUUUAUACAUUUGUUGGGCAUCGUUGUAAAUGAUAUUACCUUGAGAAAUGAAUAAACGACCCCGGGGGUAAAUGAUAUUACCUUGAGAAAUGAUAUUACCUUUAAUGGGCAUCGUUGUAAAUGAUAUUACCUUGAGAAAUGAUAUUACCUUGUAGAGUCAUUUGUUGUGUAAUUUUUUUAUACAUUUUUUUACUCAGUGUAUAGUUUGAAAUUGAAAACUCAUUGCCUAUAACUAUUUUAUAAAAUAUGGCAUUGGAUUCAUAUUGUAUUGUGAAAAACGCUGUCAAAAAUACACCGAAAAACCAAGCCCAAAUUGAAACAGCAAAGGGGUGCUGCAAGAAGAGGCGAGAAGUAAGAACACAAAUAGAGACAACCACACGACCCCGGGGGUCGAAGAUUCUCAUCCGUAUGUAAUUUAUGGUCUAAAGCGCGCCAAAAAGUAAAGGAGGAAGAGGGUGGAAUGUAGUUCCGCCAAAUCAUGUCAGCCGAAGGAACAACCGUAGAGGGCGGAUUAAGAAAAUUAAAAACAAGCUUAGCCACUAAUAAACCAUCCGGAUAAUGUUUCCAGACCAGCUGAUCGCCAAGAGGAAUAAUAGGCGAAGAGAUAGCCUUAAUUCUAGACUUAAUAUCCGGUUGACAAGCAAAUUCAGGAGGAAGAUGCCAACAACCAUCCUUGAUCAAAGAAUUCAAAGUAUCGGAAAAAUGCUUCUCGAGAUUGGGAGGAAUAUCCAUAAAAUCUAUCAAAGGAACCCCAAGCCAACUAUCGUGCCAAAGAUUUAUAAAAUUACCGGCGGCAAUCAGCCUUAAACAAUUAUCAAUAACAAAGCCAAUUUUGGUUUUAAUGCCAGCCCAAACUGAGGACGGUAAAUGACGCUAAAUUGGUUGGCCAAAAGAAAAAUAGAGUUUCAUAAACAUUGCAAACCAUUGAGACUUUUCAGCCAUAAGCUUCCAACUAAGGUGCAAAAAGAGAGAAUCAUUAAUAGAACGGGUAGAUUUCAAGUUCAAACCACUCGCUUCCCAGGGAAGACAAACAGUUUUCCAAGCAACCGUACAAACUUUCUUAGUAUUAACAUCACCGCUCCAGAUAAAUUUUUUAAUCCAACGAUCCAAAGACUUAUGCAACAUCACCGGCCAUUGAUAGGCAGCAUGUAUGAGGUCUCUCAACAACUUGUUGACAUUGUUACUCAUGAUUCAUAAUGAGGUUCAACAAGUCAAGGAGUUGAAGGCUAGACGAGGCAAUUCUAGUGACAAUAUUGUCACCUCCAUCAAAUAAGGAAGUGAAGGGAACCCAAGUUAGACUAGCGUUUCUACUCAACCUACUUUAGUAGGAUCUUUACGAGUUCAGCCGAUACCUGUAUUACAAAUAGCUUCUACUUAUAAUUCUCAACCUACUACUUUUUUUACACCGAUAACCCUAGGGGACACCCAAUGGCUAAUGAUACAUACUACCAUGCUAAUCUUCAAGUUGAACAAAUUACAUAUGACAAGGAGAUCAACAUGCUAAUCAUCAGGUUGAACAAGUACAUACUAAGGCGAAUAACAAAUUAGCAUGUUUGGGACAUGGCAAAUCAAAAUUAAAAACAUCUAUACACGAACGAUAGCUUAGUAAUAGGCUUAUAAAAAAUAUACACAUUAACUAUACUACGACACUUUCUCAAUAUAUAGAUUGUGGUAGUACUCAGUUUUGAAAUACAUCAAGGUUUCAUCACAUGACAACAGUUGCAGGACAUCAAGCUUGUAGAUGCAAUUAUGUUUCAACAAACACUCUUAAUUUCUUUCCUCCCAAUAGGAAGAAUCACUUUGGAUAGGAUAAAGGUCUGCAGCUGAUGAAGGUGAAGCAGUCCAUCCAUCACUUAAUAAACUCUGACUUUGUGUUUGUGACUUGCUCAUCGUUUUGUCUUCGAUCUGAUAGUAAUACUGUCUCAUUUCUUCCAUCUUAUUGCCAUCCAUUACUUUACUUGAAUCUGGCACAAAUUCUGGAACCACGGUUCUUCCUUCAAGCAUACUUACAACUGACGACAUAGAGGGCCUAAGGUUUGAAGUGACAUUGGUGCAUAGGAGAGCCACAUUGAUCAUCACCAUGGCUUCCUUUUUGUUUAAAUCUAAACCUAAUCUUCCAUCAACUAGCUCCAUUAGGUCACCUUUCUCUUUCAACAUAUGUGCCUGUUGAAACAAAGAAUUGUUUUGUGAACCCUAAGUAAUUUACAAAUGAGAGGUGAUAUUUUGAUACACAAAUUUGACAUCAAAAUUCGACAACAAUU
RNAcentral lists this long non-coding RNA (40240 nucleotides) under Medicago truncatula (barrel medic). RNAcentral's name for it is "long non-coding RNA (MTRU_LNC008698)". The record is from RNAcentral. Lineage: Eukaryota; Viridiplantae; Streptophyta; Magnoliopsida; Fabales; Fabaceae.